This is a small nucleolar RNA of Chrysemys picta bellii (western painted turtle), 89 nucleotides long. Lineage: Eukaryota; Metazoa; Chordata; Testudines; Emydidae. The record is from Ensembl.
GGUCCCCAAUGAUGUCAGCACUGGGCUCCGAACUUUGUGAUGAAAUCGGUGCCUCCCAGGGCCUUGACACCCUGGGGACUGAGGGGGCU